UACGUAGGGGGCAAGCGUUGUCCGGAAUCAUUGGGCGUAAAGCGCGUGUAGGCGGCUCGAUAAGUCUGCUGUGAAAGUUCAGGGCUCAACCCUGAAAUGCCGGUGGAAACUGUCGAGCUAGAGUACGGAAGAGGCGAGUGGAAUUCCUGGUGUAGCGGUGGAAUGCGCAGAUAUCAGGAGGAACACCAAUAGCGAAGGCAGCUCGCUGGGACGUUACUGACACUGAGGCGCGAAAGCGUGGGGAGCGAACAGG
RNAcentral lists this ribosomal RNA (253 nucleotides) under uncultured bacterium. RNAcentral's name for it is "partial 16S ribosomal RNA". It matches the Rfam family "Bacterial small subunit ribosomal RNA", at positions 524 to 776 of the family's 1533-position model. The record is from RNAcentral.